CCUACGGGAGGCUGCAGUGAGGAAUAUUGGUCAAUGGCCGUAAGGCUGAACCAGCCAAGUCGCGUGAAGGAAGAAGGAUCUAUGGUUUGUAAACUUCUUUUAUAGGGGAGUAAAGGUAUCCACGUGUGGAUCUUUGCAUGUACCCUAUGAAUAAGCAUCGGAUCACUCCGUGCCAUCCGCCGCGGGAAUACGGAGGAUGCGAGCGUUAUCCGGAUUGAUUGGGUGUAAAGGGUGCGUAGGUUGUUUGUUAAGUCAGCGGUGAAAGUUUGUGGCUCAACCAGAAAAUUGCCGUUGAAACUGGAAGACUGGAGUGUGUUUGAGGUAGGCGGAAUGCGAGGUGUAGCAGUGAAAUGCAUAGAUAUCACGCAGAACUCCGAUUGCGAAGGCAGCUUACUAAGACAUAACUGACACUGAGGCACGAAAGCGUGGGGAGCAAACAGGAUUAGAUACCCGGGUAGUC
This 460-nucleotide ribosomal RNA is filed under the name uncultured bacterium. Its description in RNAcentral is "partial 16S ribosomal RNA". It matches the Rfam family "Bacterial small subunit ribosomal RNA", at positions 338 to 795 of the family's 1533-position model. The record is from RNAcentral.